Melanaphis sacchari is the source of this 356-nucleotide long non-coding RNA. RefSeq lists it as uncharacterized. The record is from RefSeq and is a predicted model, not a curated record. The transcript is spliced from 3 exons. NCBI's taxonomy places the organism in Eukaryota, Metazoa, Arthropoda, Insecta, Hemiptera, Aphididae.
ACUACUAGAACAUAGUAUAGGUAGCCAACUUGAAGCUCGCGAGUCACACGUGAUUCUCGUCAUUGUAUUAGCUUGUAAAAAAUUAUCAAAUUAUAUAAAAUGUGCCUACAAACAUUUUGGCUCUCGGUAUCAUUGUAUUUAUCUGUGUGGCCCGCGAACCUAUCAUCAUGUUGGCCACCCUUGUACUAAAAUUCUACUUCUAAAAUAAGAGCAAUAAUUACCAACAGACAAUUGAUUAAUUUAAAUCAUCUUUCAACGAAGAUGGUAUGUUGUAUUGUUGCGGUUAUUACAAAAAUGAUGCCAGCGUUAAUGUAUUUCAUAAAUGACCUAAAUAAUUUCUUAAUUAUAAUAAUGAG